CAGUCGAGCGCGGGAAGUGAGUGAAGCCCUUCGGGAUGGAUCUCAUGGAACGAGCGGCGGACGGGUGAGUAACACGUGGGCAACCUACCUGUAAGAUUGGGAUAACCCCGGGAAACCGGGGCUAAUACCGAAUAAUACUUUUUAUCACAUGGUAGAAAGUUGAAAGGCGGCUUUUGCUGUCACUUAUAAAUGGGCCCGCGUCGCAUUAGCUAGUUGGUGGGGUAAUGGCCUACCAAGGCAACGAUGCGUAGCCGACCUGAGAGGGUGAUCGGCCACACUGGGACUGAGACACGGCCCAGACUCCUACGGGAGGCAGCAGUAGGGAAUCUUCCGCAAUGGACGAAAGUCUGACGGAGCAACGCCGCGUGAGUGAUGAAGGUUUUCGGAUCGUAAAACUCUGUUGUUAGGGAAGAACAAGUAUUGUUUGAAUAAGGCAGUACCAUGACGGUACCUAACCAGAAAGCCCCGGCUAACUACGUGCCAGCAGCCGCGGUAAUACGUAGGGGGCAAGCGUUGUCCGGAAUUAUUGGGCGUAAAGCGCUCGCAGGCGGUCUUUUAAGUCUGAUGUGAAAGCCCACGGCUUAACCGUGGAGGGUCAUUGGAAACUGGAGGACUUGAGUACAGAAGAGGAGGGUGGAAUUCCACGUGUAGCGGUGAAAUGCGUAGAGAUGUGGAGGAACACCAGUGGCGAAGGCGACUCUCUGGUCUG
This 709-nucleotide ribosomal RNA is filed under the name uncultured bacterium. Its description in RNAcentral is "bacterial SSU rRNA". It matches the Rfam family "Bacterial small subunit ribosomal RNA", at positions 59 to 736 of the family's 1533-position model. The record is from RNAcentral.